GGGCAUUUUGUUCACUGUAACUAAAAAGUAAUUAGUAGUAAGUAAAUUUGUACGAAGUGUUUUAUUUGCUGACCCACUGCUGCUGUAACAAAAUAAUUUCCCAGUCUGGGAUCAUUAAAGUAAUUCUAUCUAUCUAUCUAUCUAUCUAUCUAUCUAAUUUAUUACUCUAUGAUUACAGUACAUUGUUAUAACAUAUUACAUUAAAAUCAAGGUAACUAGUAGUAUCUAAUAUAUUGCAUUUCAAAAAUAAUGUUAACGUUGAAGACAUUAUGAGAUGGUAAGUAAGAUGUUUUUAUUUUGAGGGGGUCUUUUGUAUUUCUGAUAGUAUAUCGGAGUAUCUAGGUUGUACACAGUCAAAGAAAUUGUCUACAAAAAGUCAUUGUAUUUACUUUAAUAUCUGUAUUUUGCAAUAAAAUUCACAUAGGGUCAGAAUUUGGUGCAACACCGGAACCAACGUUUUUGUUCCCUGUUUGCACCCGGUUGUUUUCCGACUUCCUGAUGUCUUCGUGUACGAAGACGCCACCUCUAGUUGUGGCUGCAGUCAAGCUCCCUACAAAAUGAACUAUCGUCGGAUAAAAGGACUUUCACAAAAGCCAAAACAAGGCAUCAACAUGCAGAAAUCCUCAGAGCCUGUGGAGGAGGAGGAUGAGAACAGUGGCAUCCUACACAUGCUCACGCAAGUUUCAUCGGUGACCAACAUGAUGUCUGGGAAGGCGUUUGUCAAAAUGAGAUGGCUGAUACUGCAGCAGGAUGAUGGAAGCCUGCUGGAGAGUGCCAGAGCUUCACCCUCUGCGUUUGGAAGCUCUAUGAGGGAGGAACCAGUCUUUGUUGUAAACAGUUCCUCGAUGUGGUGAAUGAGAUCAUAGGCUUCUUGGGAGGGGUGGCAACUUGACUUCUCUUGGUUUUUGCAUUGUUUUUCCUGAUCUGUGUUCUCUUUAAAAAAAAUCGUAAACUUCCCAGUGGUGUGGUAUUUGAAAGUGCAAAUGUAUUGUUUGAAUAUGAUUACCUCACAUAUUUUUUUGUUAUCAAAAUUUUGUAGGUGGUUAAAUUGCUCCUUCCGAAUUUAGAAUAGAAUAGAAUAGAACAGAAUUACUUUAUCGAUCCCGAUUUAGCCACCCAUGUUUUUCUAUACAUGCACACGCCUUUCUCCCAGCGAUCAGAGCAUCCCCAUGCAGCACAGCACACCUGGUGAAGACUGUAUUCAAGUACAACACAGCAGAAAGGACACAAACAGCUUGACGUGCUUAUCUGUUUGACUAAUUCAGAUACUGUUUUUAAGGAAUUCAUUGUGGUAUUAAAUGCAUUGGGAAAAUCAAGACUGUGUGAUUUAUAAUGCAUCAAUGAGUAGAGUAAGUUUGGAAUAAGUAAGAAUAGUUAACAAAUAGUGCUAGAAUUCCAUUUAUUUGCAAUGAAUUCAAAUAAAAAUUUUAAUUAUUUGCCAUGGAUUUCCUAGUAGAACACAGAUAUCAUCAUAAUGCUGCUGUGAGUCCAGACUUGUCAGUCACCUGUUAGCCUCAGAGUGACCGCGAGCGCUCAGAGAGUGACCGCAAGCACGCAGAGAGAGUGACCGCAAGCACGCAGAGAGAGAGUGACCACGAGCGCUCAGAGAGUAGUCAUUAUGCGUGCUGAUUAUGGUUUUAUGCACGCAGAUAUUGGCACUGAAAUGACUCCAUAUUAAUGUCCUACUCUGAUGCAUGCGUCAGUUUGAGAGGCUGAAAUAAAUGGGACAGUCCUCUGCCUUUAGUUGCAACAGCCUUUGAAGUGGACCGUGGUUUGUUCGAGGUCCGACGCCACAAAACCAAACUACUAACGAGACAGUGUCUUUUUAGGUAACGUUACGGUCUCUUUGCUUGCUGCAUGUUGUUUUUGUUUCUCUGUGGAAAGUCAAUGCGGGGGAGGGCGGAGCCCACUAUGAACUACGGGAGCCUGUGGGGAGCGGUGGCAGAGCAAGUUAAAGAGAAAAUCGAUUUUAUUUUUUAAAAUCAUCCUAAACCAAAAAACUUGAAUUAAUCGAUUUUGCCGAUUUAUCGCCCAGCCCUAAGCAUUAUGAAGCGAGAACCAGUGGGAUAUCCCUAAACCUCUGUUGACCCAGGUUAAUUUAUGAUCACUCUUUUUUAUGCAUUUCUCUCCAAGUCAAAUUCCUGUGUACUCUGUACAUUUGGCAAAUAAAAGAGCUGGUCAUACUAUCGACGAGUGACACCGCCUGAGACGCCGCCUGUGACGCACAUCGGGACUUCCGUGAG
RNAcentral lists this long non-coding RNA (2243 nucleotides) under Sparus aurata (gilthead seabream). RNAcentral's name for it is "lncRNA (ENSSAUG00010001207.1)". The record is from RNAcentral. Lineage: Eukaryota; Metazoa; Chordata; Actinopteri; Spariformes; Sparidae.